UACGUAGGGCGCGAGCGUUGUCCGGAAUCAUUGGGCGUAAAGAGCUCGUAGGCGGCCGGUUGCGUCUGCUGUGAAAUCCCGGGGCUUAACCCCGGGCGUGCAGUGGAUACGGGCUGGCUGGAGGCAGGCAGGGGAGAAUGGAAUUCCCGGUGUAGCGGUGAAAUGCGCAGAUAUCGGGAGGAACACCGGUGGCGAAGGCGGUUCUCUGGGCCUGUGCUGACGCUGAGGAGCGAAAGCUAGGGGAGCGAACAGG
RNAcentral lists this ribosomal RNA (253 nucleotides) under uncultured bacterium. RNAcentral describes it as "partial 16S ribosomal RNA". It matches the Rfam family "Bacterial small subunit ribosomal RNA", at positions 524 to 776 of the family's 1533-position model. The record is from RNAcentral.